ACGGACGCUGGCGGCGUGCUUAACACAUGCAAGUCGAACGGAAAGGCCCUUCGGGGUACUCGAGUGGCGAACGGGUGAGUAACACGUGGGUGAUCUGCCCUGCACUUUGGGAUAAGCCUGGGAAACUGGGUCUAAUACCGAAUAGGACCACGCGCUUCAUGGUGUGUGGUGGAAAGCUUUUGCGGUGUGGGAUGGGCCCGCGGCCUAUCAGCUUGUUGGUGGGGUAAUGGCCUACCAAGGCGACGACGGGUAGCCGGCCUGAGAGGGUGACCGGCCACACUGGGACUGAGAUACGGCCCAGACUCCUACGGGAGGCAGCAGUGGGGAAUAUUGCACAAUGGGCGCAAGCCUGAUGCAGCGACGCCGCGUGAGGGAUGACGGCCUUCGGGUUGUAAACCUCUUUCAAUAGGGACGAAGCGCAAGUGACGGUACCUAUAGAAGAAGCACCGGCCAACUACGUG
RNAcentral lists this ribosomal RNA (461 nucleotides) under uncultured bacterium. RNAcentral describes it as "partial 16S ribosomal RNA". It matches the Rfam family "Bacterial small subunit ribosomal RNA", at positions 29 to 507 of the family's 1533-position model. The record is from RNAcentral.